CUUACCAUGUGCUAAGUAAGCAACCACUGGGCCGAGCGAGGCUGAUGGGUUAAUAUGCAGAGGAGUUUGCGGGGGACCAGGACCUCACGGAGGCCCCAGAAAGCUCUCAGGAGGGCCCUUGAUCCUGCCUGGGAGGGAGGGGUUAGAGGAGGAUUCCUGGAAGAAGGAGGACCUAAACUGGGUCUUUCUAUUUUUUAAUUGGUAUUGGUUUCUUAAAACGUAGAAGU
RNAcentral lists this long non-coding RNA (227 nucleotides) under Carlito syrichta (Philippine tarsier). RNAcentral's name for it is "Hydatidiform mole associated and imprinted conserved region 1 (ENSTSYG00000030901.1)". It matches the Rfam family "Hydatidiform mole associated and imprinted conserved region 1". The record is from RNAcentral. Lineage: Eukaryota; Metazoa; Chordata; Mammalia; Primates; Tarsiidae.